GUGUCUUGUGGAGAGUUGUUUCAUUGGCAAUCAUACCACAUCUUCUUUUUUUUUUAUAUAAUCUAUAUGGAAUAGCUUUACUAAGAUAUCUUUUGUGGUUAUUUUUCAUAGUUUUUUGGGUGCUGUACGUAUCUUUGGUAUAAUACAUCUCCUUUUAUUUAAAUAUGUGAAUAAAUAAAAGUGUUACCUUUGAAAUAUUUACAUAUAAAUUAAAGAUUUUAAAGAAUUUCCUGAUUAAAUAUUUACAUUGUUGUCAUUCUUCUGACCAGUGACUUCUCCUAGGCAGACAAAUGUCAUCUUAUCAUUUAAUCAGAAC
RNAcentral lists this long non-coding RNA (316 nucleotides) under Mytilus galloprovincialis (Mediterranean mussel). The record is from RNAcentral. Lineage: Eukaryota; Metazoa; Mollusca; Bivalvia; Mytilida; Mytilidae.